This 313-nucleotide ribosomal RNA is filed under the name uncultured fungus. RNAcentral describes it as "eukaryotic LSU rRNA". The stretch from base 1 to 117 matches the Rfam family "5.8S ribosomal RNA", at positions 30 to 154 of the family's 154-position model. The record is from RNAcentral. Lineage: Eukaryota; Fungi.
GCAUCGAUGAAGAACGCAGCGAAACGCGAAAUGUGAUGUGAAUUGCAGAAUUUAGUGAAUCAUCGAAUCUUUGAACGCACAUUGCGCCUGCUUGCAGGCAUGCCCGUUCGAGCGUCGCUUCUAUUUAGUACAACUCUUUUGUUGCACUGUGUUGGACACGCCUAUGGCUGUCCGGAAAGCAGUGGCCGCAGUGCCGCCGAUAACGGUCGACAGGAGUCAGCCGCGGCGUCGCUGUGAGUCUCUCAACAGAACCUUAUGACCUCGAAUCGGGUAGGGAUACCCGCUGAACUUAAGCAUAUCAAUAAGCGGAGGA